RNAcentral lists this ribosomal RNA (520 nucleotides) under uncultured Glomus. RNAcentral describes it as "SSU rRNA". It matches the Rfam family "Eukaryotic small subunit ribosomal RNA", at positions 569 to 1090 of the family's 1831-position model. The record is from RNAcentral. Lineage: Eukaryota; Fungi; Glomeromycota; Glomeromycetes; Glomerales; Glomeraceae.
AGCAGCCGCGGUAAUUCCAGCUCCAAUAGCGUAUAUUAAAGUUGUUGCAGUUAAAAAGCUCGUAGUUGAAUUUCGGGACCAAUCUGCCGGUCGUGCCUCCGGUACGCACUGGUUUUAUUGGUCUCUCCCUUCUGACGAACCAUGAUGUCAUUAAUUUGGUGUCAUGGGGGAUCAGGACUGUUACUUUGAAAAAAUUAGAGUGUUUAUAGCAGGCUCACGCUUGAAUACAUUAGCAUGGAAUAAUGAAAUAGGACGUUUGACCCUAUUUUGUUGGUUUCUAGGAUCGACGUAAUGAUUAAUAGGGAUAGUUGGGGGCAUUAGUAUUCAAUUGUCAGAGGUGAAAUUCUUGGAUUUAUUGAAGACUAACUACUGCGAAAGCAUUUGCCAAGGAUGUUUUCAUUAAUCAAGAACGAAAGUUAGGGGAUCGAAGACGAUCAGAUACCGUCGUAGUCUUAACCAUAAACUAUGCCGACUAGGGAUCGGAUGAUGUUAAUUUUUUAAUGACUCAUUCGGCGCCUUA